AACGAACGCUGGCGGCGUGGAUUAGGCAUGCAAGUCGAACGGUAUCAUCCUUUCGGGGGUGAGAGAGUGGCGAACUGGUGAGUAACACGUAGGUUAUCUACCCUCAAGACGGGGACAACCCAGGGAAACUUGGGCUAAUACCGGAUGUGAGCAACUUUUAGUUGUUUGAAAGGUGGCGUAAGCUGUCGCUUGGGGAUGAGCCUGCGUCCUAUUAGUUAGUUGGUGAGGUAACGGCUCACCUAGGCAAUGAUAGGUAGGCGGCCUUAACGGGUGGUUGCCCACACUGGGAUUGAGAUACGGCCCAGACUCCUACGGGAGGCAGCAGUCGAGAAUAGUCUACAAUGGUCGGAAGACUGAUAGUGCGACGCCGCGUGAACGAUGAAUCCCUUCGGGGUGUAAAGUUCUUUUAUAUGUGAGCAGUGCUUCUUAUAUUAACAGUAUGGGGAGAGAGAUAUUAGCAUAUGAAUAAGCAACGGCUAACUCCGUGCCAGCAGCCGCGGU
Molecule: ribosomal RNA, 501 nt
Filed under: uncultured bacterium
Lineage: Bacteria
Description: bacterial SSU rRNA
Rfam family: Bacterial small subunit ribosomal RNA
Source: RNAcentral